This 377-nucleotide long non-coding RNA is filed under the name Brassica rapa (field mustard). RNAcentral's name for it is "long non-coding RNA (BRAP_LNC000125)". The record is from RNAcentral. Lineage: Eukaryota; Viridiplantae; Streptophyta; Magnoliopsida; Brassicales; Brassicaceae.
CUAGCCAAUUAUCAUAUCAAAGAUGGAUUCCAGUCUACAAUCGAAUUACAUUACAUACCAUGAUCAACAACAUGGUUCAUUCAGAUAAUAAAAUAAAACACCAAACAAAAGUAAUUACUACCCUUAAAAGCUAAAACCUUCAAAUUAUAAUCAUUGUUUAGUGUUCCCUGGCGACUUGUUAAGUAUUCUCAGAAACAAAACCAUUAACAAUAUGGUUCAUGUCCAAAAUCCUUGGGAUGUACAUUGACAAGAGACCUGAGAUCGAUUCAAAUUGGUUACUCAAAACUCAUAUUGCACCUGCAAAUCUUGAGAUUAGUCUUGAGCUUCUACACCAAACCAAUGUCUGUCUCUUUUCUUGCUUCCUCUCAAACCAUAUC